RNAcentral lists this ribosomal RNA (457 nucleotides) under uncultured bacterium. Its description in RNAcentral is "bacterial SSU rRNA". It matches the Rfam family "Bacterial small subunit ribosomal RNA", at positions 340 to 786 of the family's 1533-position model. The record is from RNAcentral.
UACGGGAGGCAGCAGUGGGGAAUAUUGCACAAUGGGCGAAAGCCUGAUGCAGCUAUGCCGCGUGUAUGAAGAAGGCCUUAGGGUUGUAAAGUACUUUCAUCGGGGAGGAAAAAACAAAACUAAUAAUUUUAUUUCUUGACGUUACCCGAAAAAGAAGCACCGGCUAACUCCGUGCCAGCAGCCGCGGUAAUACGGAGGGUGCUAGCGUUAAUCAGAAUUACUGGGCGUAAAGAGCACGUAGGUGGUUUUUUUAAGUCAGAUGUGAAAUCCCUGGGCUUAACCUAGGAACUGCAUUUUGAAACUGAAAUACUAGAGUAUCGUAGAGGGAGGUAGAAUUCUAGGUGUAGCGGUGAAAUGCGUAGAUAUCUGGAGGAAUACCUGUGGCGAAAGCGGCCUCCUAAACGAAUACUGACACUGAGGUGCGAAAGCGUGGGGAGCAAACGAGCAGUUAGAUACC